UCAAGCUGAAGGAGUUUACGAGGACC
This 26-nucleotide non-coding RNA is filed under the name Homo sapiens (human). The record is from RNAcentral. Lineage: Eukaryota; Metazoa; Chordata; Mammalia; Primates; Hominidae.